RNAcentral lists this ribosomal RNA (307 nucleotides) under uncultured bacterium. Its description in RNAcentral is "bacterial SSU rRNA". It matches the Rfam family "Bacterial small subunit ribosomal RNA", at positions 28 to 334 of the family's 1533-position model. The record is from RNAcentral.
GACGAACGCUGGCGGCGUGCCUAACACAUGCAAGUCGAACGGGAGCAAGUGCUUCGGUAUUUGCUUUAGUGGCGAACGGGUGAGUAACGCGUGAAUAACCUGCCUUAUACCGGGGGAUAACACUUAGAAAUAGGUGCUAAUACCGCAUAAGCGCACAGUAUCGCAUGAUACAGUGUGAAAAACUCCGGUGGUAUAAGAUGGACCCGCGUCUGAUUAGCUUGUUGGCGAGGUAACGGCUCACCAAGGCAACGAUCAGUAGCCGGCCUGAGAGGGUGAACGGCCACAUUGGGACUGAGACACGGCCCAA